RNAcentral lists this ribosomal RNA (95 nucleotides) under Escherichia coli. The record is from RNAcentral. Lineage: Bacteria; Pseudomonadati; Pseudomonadota; Gammaproteobacteria; Enterobacterales; Enterobacteriaceae.
GUGGUCCCACCUGACCCCAUGCCGAACUCAGAAGUGAAACGCCGUAGCGCCGAUGGUAGUGUGGGGUCUCCCCAUGCGAGAGUAGGGAACUGCCA